Molecule: ribosomal RNA, 236 nt
Filed under: Candidatus Acetothermia bacterium
Lineage: Bacteria; Candidatus Bipolaricaulota
Description: partial 23S ribosomal RNA
Rfam family: Bacterial large subunit ribosomal RNA
Source: RNAcentral
UAAGCGAAGUAAGGGCAGACGGUGGACACCUUGGCAGUUGGAAGCGAUGAAGGACGUGGCUAGCUGCGAUAAGCCUCGGGGAGCCGCUAAGCAGGCUUUGAUCCGGGGAUCUCCGAAUGGGAGUACCCGCCAUGGUGAAGCCAUGGCAGGGCGCGUUGAAACCGAAGUAGGCGCGUCCGGCGAACCCGGCGAAGUGAAACAUCUCAGUAACCGGAGGAAAAGAAAUCAAUAGAGAU